RNA transcript from Durio zibethinus, 1326 nucleotides. It is a transcript of the gene named syntaxin-71-like, with no coding region annotated. The record is from RefSeq and is a predicted model, not a curated record. NCBI's taxonomy places the organism in Eukaryota, Viridiplantae, Streptophyta, Magnoliopsida, Malvales, Malvaceae.
UGGAAAUUUUAAUAUUUUAACCGAACAUGUAACGCUUGGAACUUUAACUUUGCGUGCCGGUCUGCUCCUGGGUGACGGAGAUGGAAUCUUCUGCAACUGAGUUCAUUUCAUGAACCGUAAGACCCGAUUAAAUUCCAGCUGGCAACAUUCCAACGGAAACAUUCGUUUCCCUCUUCCAUUUUCUUUUGACUCUCACUGUCUCCGACCUAGUUAGUGUUCAAUGUUCCAGAAACAAAAAUCGAAGAAACAGAAUCUCUGCGGGGAAAGUAAAAGGAACUUCCAGAGAAAGCAAGAAACGGCGUAGUUUUUAGAGAAAGAAGGAGAUGACGGUGAUAGACUUGAUCACGAGGGUCGACGCGAUUUGCAAGAAAUACGAAAAGUACGACAUCGAUAAGCAAAAAGAGGCUAACGUCACCGGCGAUGACGCUUUCGCUCACCUUUAUGGCGUCGUUGAGUCUGAACUCGAUGCUGUUCUCCAGAAAUCGGAAGCUGCUGCUACGGAAAAGAACAGGGCUACGGCGGUUGCAAUGAAUGCGGAAAUUCGGAGAACAAAAGCUCGAUUGCUUGAAGAACUCCCCAAAUUACAACGACUCGCUCUCAAAAAGGUAAAGGGGCUUUCAAGAGAAGAGCUUGAGGCUCGAAACGAUUUGGUUUCUUCACUGAAAGAUAGGAUUGAAGCAAUACCAGAUGGAUCAACAACUGCAGCUAAGCAAAGAACUGGUGGUUGGGCGACUUCAACUUCUUAUCCUGCAAUUAAAAUUGACUCAUCUUCAGAUGGUGGUUUUGAAAGUGAGUACUUUCAACAAACUGAAGAGUCUGACCGCUUCAGGCAAGAGUAUGAAAUGCGCAGAAUGAAACAGGAUCAAGGUUUGGAGGUUAUAGCUGAAGGUUUGGAUACCUUGAAAAACAUGGCUCAUGAUAUGAAUGAGGAAUUUGACAGACAAGUGCCAAUGAUGGAUGAAAUAGAUGAGAAGGUGAUCCUACGCAAGUAGAGUUAUCUGCCUCUGGUUAUCCUUCUUUACUAGUGAUGGACAUGGACAAUUUAUCUGAUAGUUAGCUGAUGGUAUUCUGGAAAAUUAAAGUUAUAUCUGAUGCCUUUUAAUUGCUAACUCUAUAAUCUUAGAGAGAGAGAGCAGGGACCAAUAAAGUCAGGUAAUGAUAUCUUUUUUAUUUUUUAUGCUGCCGGUGAUUGAACCUUAUUAGUGGAAGUAAGAGUUUAACACUCUACUUGCGUACUACACUUGGAAUGUCAAGCAGUGAUAUCACUUGCUAGUAGCCUGGCAAUUUACAUAUGAAAAACACUUUCUGGCAGUAGAUAGGGCAGCC